This 1011-nucleotide long non-coding RNA is filed under the name Sus scrofa (pig). RNAcentral describes it as "lncRNA (ENSSSCG00070029454.1)". The record is from RNAcentral. Lineage: Eukaryota; Metazoa; Chordata; Mammalia; Artiodactyla; Suidae.
AUGGUGGAGAAAUUCUGCCCCCUUCAUCCCCACCAAGAAAUGAUGCUGAGACCCAUUUCAUUGCUCCUCAGAGUCACCUUUGGUGACGGCCACUCCACCAAGCACACUUCUGCUGUUUCUCCCUCCUUCCGAUGCCCCCCUCCCUCUCUGCGUCUCUCUGGAUUUGUCCUGCCGAUUAAAGUGAGGGUACGCAAGCCCUCUGCUUUGGCUCUGCCUUCAGGGAAACCUGGCCAAGGCGCCAUCCACAUGCUGACGCCCCAGCACGUGCAUCUCCAGGCCAGGCUUCACCUGGACCUCAGGUUCACGUGGCCAACUGUGAAGAGGGACAUUCAAGGCAGCCUGUCCAAAAGGAAGCGCCUGAUCUUCGCCCCCCCAACCUGCUCCACCGAAGCUUCCCCGGCCUACCAUGUGCCCCGGACAAAACUCGAGUCAGCCAUGACUCACCCAGUCCGAGAGCACGUGACAUCGUCUCCGUCUUCACAGGUCUCCCAAACGGACCGCUUAUCCUCCAUCUCUGUCACAACCACUGGUCCAAGGUCCCACCUCUCCUCCCUGAUCUGCAGUCGCCUCCAGACCGCACUCCCUGCUUCCCUUCUUACUCUCUGUGUCCACUCUCCCCACAGCAGCCUGGGAUCCCGUGAGGUGCGUCAGCUCAUGUCACCUUUCAGCUCAGAACUCUCCCCUGGCAUCCACCUCGCUCGCAGUAAAAGCGAGGUCCUCGUGGUGGCCAGCAAGACCACAGUCUUCCCUUUUAUUUUUAUUUAUUUAUUAUUAUUAUUAUUAUUUUUUGUCGUUUUAGGGCUGCACCUGCAGCAUAUGGAGGUUCCCAGACUAGGGGUUGAAUCAGAACUGUGGCCACCAGCCUACGCCACAACCAUAACAAUACAGAAUCCAGGCUGUGUCUACGACCUACACCACAGCUCACGGCAACACCAGACCCUUAACCCACUGAGCGGGGCCAGGGUUGAACCCACAUCCUCAUGGAUCCUAGUCGGGUCCACUAACCACUGA